CAGUCGCCGCGGGAAAACGUAGGUGGCAAGCGUUGUCCGGAAUAAUUGGGCGUAAAGCGCGCGCAGGCGGAUAGGUCAGUCUGUCUUAAAAGUUCGGGGCUUAACCCCGUGAUGGGAUGGAAACUGCCAAUCUAGAGUAUCGGAGAGGAAAGUGGAAUUCCUAGUGUAGCGGUGAAAUGCGUAGAUAUUAGGAAGAACACCAGUGGCAAAGGCGACUUUCUGGACGAAAACUGACGCUGAGGCGCGAAAGCCAGGGGAGCGAACGGGAUUAGAUACCCCCGUAGUCCCUGUCUCUUAUACA
RNAcentral lists this ribosomal RNA (301 nucleotides) under uncultured bacterium. RNAcentral's name for it is "partial 16S ribosomal RNA". It matches the Rfam family "Bacterial small subunit ribosomal RNA", at positions 509 to 809 of the family's 1533-position model. The record is from RNAcentral.